This 1032-nucleotide ribosomal RNA is filed under the name Ellobium chinense. RNAcentral describes it as "16S ribosomal RNA". It matches the Rfam family "Bacterial large subunit ribosomal RNA", at positions 580 to 2717 of the family's 2925-position model. Lineage: Eukaryota; Metazoa; Mollusca; Gastropoda; Ellobiida; Ellobiidae. The record is from RNAcentral.
AAAAUCGUCUUUCUUUUUAGUGAGUAUAUGUGUAUAGAAAUAGUAGUAAGCUUUAUACUUUGGGGGUCUUACCUUUUGCAUAAUGGUUGUACUAGAAUAUGCGUAAAUGGGCUAUCCCGAAACAAGAAGAUCUAGGUAGAGCUUGGUCUUGGCCAUAAUAACUCGUGUUGCAAUACGGGAAUUAAAAGCUGUACUUAGGGGCGAAAAACCUGCAAUUCUUGAGAUAGCUGGAUUUUAGGUAAAGGUAUUUAGUACCAAGGACAAUCAAGAAGUGCCGAGAUUUCUUGAGCGUAGAAUUUUUAUUUUAUUUUACAUCUGGAGGGGUAAUACCUCGCCAUGCCGCAAAGUGAAUACAUAAAUGAUAAGAAAAUCUAAGUGUAACCUAAACAUGUGGUCUGACUUUAGGCUACAAAGAUAAUGUGCAAAUUAGUAAUAAUAGUUAUCGGAGGUAAGGAAUUCGGCAAACAAACUCCUCAUCUGUUUAUCAAAAACAUAGCCUUGCGCUUCUAUGCAAGGUAAGCCCUGCCCAGUGAGAAAUUAAACGGCCGCAGUACCCUGACUGUGCUAAGGUAGCGUAAUCAGUUGGCUUUUAAAUGGAGUCGAGAAUGAAUGGGUUCAUGGGGAGUGACUGUCUCACCUUUGUUAAGUCGAACUUAUUUAGUAGGUGAAAAUACCUAUAAAUAGAAAAAAGACGAGAAGACCCUUAGAGUCUUAAUAAAGUGUCUUAGUCAGGCUAGUAUUUUUGUUGGGGCGACAUCGAGGCAUUAUUUAACCCUCGAUAAUAGAGAUUACUAGACGAAAGUAAUAGGAAAGACAAGACUACCUUAGGGAUAACAGCAUAAUCUUAAAAUUAGCUUUGUGACCUCGAUGUUGGACUAGGAACUUUAUGACUAGCCGUCAUAAGAGUAGGUUCUGUUCGAACCCUUGCUCCUACAUGAUCUGAGUUCAGACCGGCGUAAGCCAGGUCAGAUUCUAUCUUUUUUGGCGACCUUUUAGUACGAAAGGACCGAAGGGCGGUAAUUUGUUGUUAUU